AUGAACAGUGCAGGCUGGAGCCGAGCCGGUAAUGGACGAAAAGACGAUUUUGCCCCUGCAUGCUGUUUCUUGCUUCGACACUUGGGGUGUUGCUCGGUGCAUGCUGUUUCUUGCUACGACACCUGGGGUGAUGCUCAAUGCUGUCGUGUCUAUGGUACUUCACUCCACCGAGAGGUAGAUAGUGAAGGAAGUGGUGCUGUUUGUUAGUAUGUACGAGUCUGAUUCCAUCUUCCCUGUUACGCUGUUUGCUGAGAAUUCUGAUUUAGAGUCUGAUUCCAUCUUCACUCCACAGAGAGGUAAAGAGAGAGAGAGCAGAGGGAAUUGAUAUCCGUCUGUAAUCGAAGAAAUUGGUGCUUGGGGGUUUGAUUUGAUACGCGGCAAGGAUUAAUUUCUGUGGCAAAGGGAUUGAAUUCCGUCUCUAACCUGCAUUUGAUCACUCGGCACGAGGUUACAAAGCUCCAGCUUUCUGGAGAUGGCGAUCUUCUUCAUUUUAAGAGAAUUAAGGUUGGGUACCUGCACCUGAGGAUUCUUGGCAACAUCAGCUCCUCAAAUUUGUUAGAUCAUGCCGAGGGAUUUGUAUAAUCUCACGUCCAGGAGUCCAGAAGGUGCACAGGCUGCUUCGAGUCUUACCGGGACAGUGCUUGGAUGAGGAUGUUGCCUUCUAACACAGCUAUUGCACAUGUUAGCCCAACAAAGGUUCUCGAAGAUAUGCCUGCAAUUUGCUUCGACAAGGAAACAAAUAAUAAUGAACUCAGAAACCCCUGAAGCUCAAGCUUUGGAGAAGGUGGAGGAUAAGUCCAAAUGAGAACUCUGAAGCAUUGGCUUUUAUCAUUGAUUUUUUCAUUGAUAAUAGCUAUUGAUUUGAGUUGAAUUAUUUACUGACCUUUAAUAUUGGCUUUUAUAGGACAUAUAUCAGUACUGGUUUUGUUAUCUAAUCUGUUUGUUGUUAUAUGCUGUGCUACUCCAAAUGGUUUUCGCAUUGAUUAUGGCUACUGUCUCUUUUUUUGUCAGCUAUUAUCUCUAUUUAAACAGUUGUCUUUAUGAUUUAUUCUUCAAUUAUACAGUUUUGCAUUUCUUGGAUUGAUUAGUUUGUGGUGGAUUUGCAGCUUGAGAAAAGAGUGAACGAGGUUGAGCAGUAUUACUUGAGGAAAGGCAGUCUGCAACCAACCACUUCGAAGGAGAAAGACGGAGAUAAACAUUUUAAUACAAUUAAGAAGCAGCAACAAGAUGCAUCAUGUAGGGACGCUGCUGCUGCAAAGAGGAUGCGAGAUCUGUUGAAUGAUAGUGACAUUUUUGCCCCUACAUUCUCGCUGGCUUUUACCUGACUACCCCGACGAGGACUGGAUGUGGCUCUUUUUCAUUGCUCCACGAAGAGAGAGAGCAAUCUUGAGAGAGUUCAUGAAUGAUCCAGAGACCCGGCGUUUGUUUCUUUGCUUCGCACGAAGAGAGAGAGUGGGAGAUAGAGGUGAUAUUCAAGAAAGAGACUGAUCGGAGAGGCACACAGAGAAAGAAAGAAGUGUGAGAGGGAUCUGGGUUUUGACUACAUCCCCAAAUUUCUAAUCGAGGUGCUCAAAGAACGAAACGGUGAUAUUCGCUCUUUAUGGAGACAGUUGCUAGUUGCUACAUAUGUGGAUUUACAAUCUCGAUACAGAUGUGAGCAACUGAUCUUACACUGAGGAGUUGUGUUUAUUUGAGAAGAGAAAAUUUCCAAAGAUUAUUAUUCGUUUUGAAGCUGUUGGAUUUUAAAGCAAAAUGACUGCAGUAUCUAAACAAAUUGACUGAGAAUCAUUCGAAUAUUGCGAGUUGUCAACAAUAUCCAGCCUGCCGGGCAUACUGAUAUUGUGCAUAUCAAUGGUCAGGAAAAUGCAGAGGAGGAGGAUAUGGAUAACAAUGAUGAUCUUGCUGGAGAUGCCAUUGAAAGUGAUGACAAGGAAGAACAGGUACCAGCAGAACGGCCUCCCAAAACAUCAAAAUUUAUAGAUUGCUAUGAAAGAGCUUCGUGAAAGGAAGAUACCCUUUACCAUCCGCCACUACCUGCCUGAUAGAAGCCCUGAUGACAGAUUGUAGCCAUCCAUCAAAAAGUUCUCACACACCAAAGUUUGAUUUCGUGUGUAAUGAAAAUUAUGCUAUGUAAUGUUAUGAAAUCAACGAUAUUCUUGUACAGUUAAUUUUCUAAACAAUGUCCACCAAUAUAUAAUAAUUGCUUUUUCCAACUGUUUCACUCAAAAACAAAAAGCUUCGGAUCGGCGGAGGGAGGAGGAAGAAGACAAGCAUCGUGACAGAAUCAGCGAUCUCUCAGACGAUAUAUUGCAUCUCAUACUCUCAUUCUUGCCUUUGAAAUCGGUUGGGCAAACCAGUGUCCUAUCUCGAAGAUGGAGUCAUGUAUGGUCUUCCUAUCCUAUCAUCGACUUGUACGAGAUCUUUACUGGUGUUGAAGCUUUUCAUCACCAGACAAAAGAAAGGAUCAUCAACAGUGUUGGCUCCCCGCAACGAAAACUAUAGCAUGGAGAUUUCUCCAAUUCCGGGGGAUCCGAACCGGUCUUGUUCUUUGUCUAGGGUUGAACACCGUGUACUUGACGUCUCGUUAAGCAGUGAAAACAGAUCAUUUGAAUUGCUUCGAUGUCAACUUAAGUGCCACUCAUUACGGAGGCUCGAGUCUAAUAACAGUAGAUGUGGGAGUUCAUGGCUAGGGUUUCCCUCUUCUUACGUUGUUGGGUCUUAUCUCCGUUCACUUCACACAUUGUCUCUAACAUGUGUGGAUAGUGCUUUGGUUAUGGAUUUUUUCUCCGGUUCUUCAUUCCCUUCUCUUGAACAAUUGAAGAUAGAAAGUUGCAGAGGAACAAGUGAUCUCAAAAUUAGUUGUCCAAACCUAAGAGAUGUACGAGUUUUUUUAUAUGGAUUUAAAUAGCUUAGACAUCUCCGAAAUGAGACUAAAAGUUUUGAGUGUCUGGUGGUGUUUCAAGGAGUGCAUCAAUGGAAGUUGGGUGAAAAUCCUUGCCCCUAAUUUACAAUUUAUUAUUUGGGGCUAUAAUGCCAUUACUGAAAACUGUUCAAUGCAGAGCUUUCCUAGGCUCAAAAGAUCUUUCAUGUGGUCUCGGAAUAGAGGUCCUAUUACAAAGACGAAGAUUAAUACUAAUGGUGUUGUCGAUCUUCUUUCUGGUUCAUCUCAAGUUGAAGUUCUUACCAUAUCCUAUAACUACCUACAGUUUCUGUCAGAAACUUAUUUUGAACUAGGUGGUCUACCAUUCUCAUUUAUGAAACUUGAGACUUUGAGGAUUAAGAAUCCCUCCUGCAGGUUGAACAAAAGAUAUAUCCCAGGUAUAGCAUGCCUGUUCAAGAGCUCUCCCAAAGUCCACACCCUCGAGAUUUGUUUUAGCGACUCUUUCAGAGGAAAAGGAAAAGUAAAUGAUAAGUGGAACAACAUUUUGUUGGAUGAUUCCAAUUGCACGGAAGAGCAGUUCUGGGAAACUCAGGCUCAAAAUUUUAGUCCCUUUCUUAGUCACUUAAAGGUGGCCAACAUUGAAGUUGGUAAGAAUUCGAUCAAUUUUGCAAAGUUUUUGCUUAAAUAUGGAAGAGGCCUACAAGAAGUGAUUCUCAGUUUUAGGGAAGGCAGAAGUACCCUACUUCCCAAUUCGUUGAAUGAUACCAUUGAUUUAUUAAAGGGAUUCCCCCGAGCAUCUGCAUAUGUCAAAUUCUCAAUUUCUUGCUCUUCAAUGUAUUAGAUACUUUGCUUAAUUUCAGGUACUAUCUUAUUAAGGAAUACAUUCAAGUUAAUUUGUCAGCCAA
Molecule: RNA transcript, 3786 nt
Organism: Rosa rugosa (rugosa rose)
Lineage: Eukaryota; Viridiplantae; Streptophyta; Magnoliopsida; Rosales; Rosaceae
Gene name: putative F-box/FBD/LRR-repeat protein At4g03220
Exons: 11
Source: RefSeq, a predicted model, not a curated record